UCCUAUUUAAUUAAACAGCUCGGCCACUUUUUCCUAAUCAACCAUGGAGCGACGUGAUGACACCCCAUUGCCUUGGGUAGAAUUCGAUCAGGUGCGGGGAGCCCCCAAGGCACCACUCUCCAACGCCAGCAAAAGUGAGUCAAACUGGCGUGGAGAGCUGCUCCCCCCCUGCAUAUUCGAAAAGGGCCGCUACACGUCCGCCUGCCUGGUCUGGGCUGAGCCAGGACUUUUCUGAAAAAUGACCGAUCGGUCAUUUGGGAAGGCCCUCUCCCAACCCUUCCGGCCAAAGUCAAAAGAUCCAUCACAAAGGUGGUGAAGGGUUUGUUCGUUGGUCCGAAGGGCAUGCGACAAGAAGUUCCAUGACCUGCUGUUUAAUUAAACAGCUCGGCCACUUUUUCCUAAUCAACCAUGGAGCGACGUGAUGACACCCCAUUGCCUUGGGUAGAAUUCGACAGGUGCGGGGAGCCCCCAAGGCACCACUCUCCAACGCCAGCCAAAGUGAGUCAAACUGGCAUGGAGAGCUCCUCCCCCCUGAAUAUUCGAAAAGGGCCGCUACACGUCCGCCUGCCUGGUCUGGGCUAAGCUAGGACUUUUCGGAAAAAUGACCGAUCGGUCAUUUGGGAAGGCCCUCUCCCAACCCUUCCGGCCAAAGUCAAAAGAUCCAUCACAAAGGUGGUGGAGGGUUUGUUCGUUGGUCCGAAGGGCAUGCGAGAG
Molecule: long non-coding RNA, 714 nt
Filed under: Vigna radiata
Lineage: Eukaryota; Viridiplantae; Streptophyta; Magnoliopsida; Fabales; Fabaceae
Description: long non-coding RNA (VRAD_LNC015190)
Source: RNAcentral